Molecule: unclassified non-coding RNA, 228 nt
Filed under: plant metagenome
Description: partial contains small subunit ribosomal RNA, internal transcribed spacer 1, and 5.8S ribosomal RNA
Source: RNAcentral
UUUCCGUAGGUGAACCUGCGGAAGGAUCAUUAUUGAAAUAAACUUGAUGGGUUGUUGCUGGUUCUCUCGGGAGCAUGUGCACACCUUGUCAUCUUUAUACCUCCACCUGUGCACUUUUUGUAGACCUUUUCGGGUCUAUGUUGCCUCAUUUUACCCCAAUGUAUGUCAAUAGAAUGUUGUGCCUAUAUAUAAUAUAUACAACUUUCAGCAACGGAUCUCUUGGCUCUC